UGGGGUGUGGCGCAGCGGUAGCGCAGUUGACUGUUAAUCAAUUGGUCAGGGGUUCGAAUCCCCUCACCCCAGCCA
Molecule: transfer RNA, 75 nt
Filed under: Halobacteriovoraceae bacterium
Lineage: Bacteria; Pseudomonadati; Bdellovibrionota; Bacteriovoracia; Bacteriovoracales; Halobacteriovoraceae
Also listed under: 1 other name
Description: tRNA-Asn
Rfam family: tRNA
About the family: Transfer RNA (tRNA) molecules are approximately 80 nucleotides in length. Their secondary structure includes four short double-helical elements and three loops (D, anti-codon, and T loops). Further hydrogen bonds mediate the characteristic L-shaped molecular structure. tRNAs have two regions of fundamental functional importance: the anti-codon, which is responsible for specific mRNA codon recognition, and the 3' end, to which the tRNAs corresponding amino acid is attached (by aminoacyl-tRNA synthetases). tRNAs cope with the degeneracy of the genetic code in two manners: having more than one tRNA (with a specific anti-codon) for a particular amino acid; and 'wobble' base-pairing, i.e. permitting non-standard base-pairing at the 3rd anti-codon position.
Source: RNAcentral